UAAGCGGAGGAAAAGAAACCAACGGGGAUUGCCUUAGUAACGGCGAGUGAAGCGGCAAAAGCUCAAAUUUGAAAUCUGGUACCUUCGGUGCCCGAGUUGUAAUUUGGAGAGGGCAACUUUGGGGCCGUUCCUUGUCUAUGUUCCUUGGAACAGGACGUCAUAGAGGGUGAGAAUCCCGUGUGGCGAGGAGUGCGGUUCUUUGUAAAGUGCCUUCGAAGAGUCGAGUUGUUUGGGAAUGCAGCUCUAAGUGGGUGGUAAAUUCCAUCUAAAGCUAAAUAUUGGCGAGAGACCGAUAGCGAACAAGUACAGUGAUGGAAAGAUGAAAAGAACUUUGAAAAGAGAGUGAAAAAGUACGUGAAAUUGUUGAAAGGGAAGGGCAUUUGAUCAGACAUGGUGUUUUGUGCCCUCUGCUCCUUGUGGGUAGGGGAAUCUCGCAUUUCACUGGGCCAGCAUCAGUUUUGGUGGCAGGAUAAAUCCAUAGGAAUGUAGCUUGCCUCGGUAAGUAUUAUAGCCUGUGGGAAUACUGCCAGCUGGGACUGAGGACUGCGACGUAAGUCAAGGAUGCUGGCAUAAUGGUUAUAUGCCGCCCGUCUUGAAACACGGACC
RNAcentral lists this ribosomal RNA (606 nucleotides) under Saccharomyces cerevisiae (brewer's yeast). RNAcentral describes it as "eukaryotic LSU rRNA". It matches the Rfam family "Eukaryotic large subunit ribosomal RNA", at positions 47 to 667 of the family's 3401-position model. The record is from RNAcentral. Lineage: Eukaryota; Fungi; Ascomycota; Saccharomycetes; Saccharomycetales; Saccharomycetaceae.